GCGUCUGUAGCUCAGCUGGAUAGAGCAAUGCCCUUCUAAGGCAUCGGUCACACGUUCGAAUCGUGUCAGGCGUACCA
RNAcentral lists this transfer RNA (77 nucleotides) under Arcobacter sp. RNAcentral's name for it is "tRNA-Arg". It matches the Rfam family "tRNA". Rfam says of the family: Transfer RNA (tRNA) molecules are approximately 80 nucleotides in length. Their secondary structure includes four short double-helical elements and three loops (D, anti-codon, and T loops). RNAcentral also lists the same sequence under 12 other names. The record is from RNAcentral. Lineage: Bacteria; Pseudomonadati; Campylobacterota; Epsilonproteobacteria; Campylobacterales; Arcobacteraceae.